Linepithema humile (Argentine ant) is the source of this 757-nucleotide long non-coding RNA. RefSeq lists it as uncharacterized. The record is from RefSeq and is a predicted model, not a curated record. NCBI's taxonomy places the organism in Eukaryota, Metazoa, Arthropoda, Insecta, Hymenoptera, Formicidae.
CAACACAACACAAAUACACAAAAAGAAACCAAUGUGCCUAAACCACCACCAAGUACACAACGAUAAAGAAAAAGCAACGUUAUUCGAUAUUACUAUUGCGUAAAACGACCGAAAUGUCUACACAAAACAAUCAAGAAGAAUGGGAGUUCAAAUAUUUUAGAAAGUUGAAGUAUUUUCAAGCACAAUGUGCAAUGUGUCCACGUUCUGUUUCAACCAUUUUUAUGUACCGAAAUAUGGAAAGUGUGGAUGACCAUUUCGGAAUAAACCCACAUGACGAAAGUAAAAAACUUCAUCCGAAACGGCAGCAUUUUACUAAAAUUGACGAUUGGUGCAUAAAAUGUAAUAUUUGUGGUCACAUUUAUACGAUCAAAUAUCCAAUCACAAUAUUAGAGGUACAUUUAUUUUCGGAUCAUAAAAUGCGUGUAUCCUUAGAAUUAGAUUUUAAACAAACGAGUUUUAUAUGGGACCAUAUUCAAGAGCUUGAAAUAGACAAAAAUUAUGUAAGGUGUCUUGAGUGUAAUGGUAUGAUUAAAAUUAAACGUGCGAAAGCUUUAAAUAAACACAUGUUAGAUAUACAUCAUGAUAUUUGGCGAAUAGAACAAUGUCCACAAAAAGAAACCAAUAUGCCUGGGCCAUCAACUAAAUCUCAAUGUUAAAGAAGAAAUGAUUUAUCCUGUCCAAACAAAGGUUCUAUAUUCAAGUACCACGACCAGCAGUAAAAACAAUCUUGACUUAGGCGAUUUAAAUGAUUUGGAGU